This is a long non-coding RNA of Lactuca sativa (garden lettuce), 1087 nucleotides long. RefSeq lists it as uncharacterized. NCBI's taxonomy places the organism in Eukaryota, Viridiplantae, Streptophyta, Magnoliopsida, Asterales, Asteraceae. The record is from RefSeq and is a predicted model, not a curated record.
GGUACCAAACGCAUCCCAAAUACAUAUAUAAAUAAUAAUCGGGUGUUGCUAAAUCCUUUAUGCAACAAUGACCUUAUGUAUACAAAAUUCAACACCAACAUCUAUGAAUCAAGCUAACACCAGACUGAAUCUUCUAAGGCAAGAAACUUUGUAUCUUCAAUAUUCAACCGAUCAAAUUCUUACAAGAUAAAGCAGCUUAUUUUAUCCAGCAUAGUUAGGGAUGCAAACAAGUCAAGCUACUUGUGAGCUACUUGGGAUCGGAUCGCUAAAAGCUCGACUCGAAACCGAUUUUAGACAGCCCGAGCCGAGCUCGAGCUUAAUAUUAAGUUCGUUUAUUAAACGAGUUUGAGCUCGAGCCUAUGUCACUAAGCUCGAUUAGGCCCGCGAGCCUAAACGAGCCUUUAUAUAAUAUAAUUUCUUAUUUUUUUGUAUAUUAAAAUAAAAACAUAUUUGUGGAUUAGGAAUUUAAGGCAUUAGUAAACGAGUUUCUUAACGAGCUCGAGCCGAGCUUAAGCUUAUUUAGGCAAGUCGGAGAAAAAACGAGUCGAGCCCGAGCCCGAGUCGAGCUUCUAUAAUUGUUUACGAGCUCAAACCGAGUUCAGUACAAAAAGCUCGAAUCAAGCCGAGCUCGAGCUCGAGCCACUUAGAACUUAAACGAGCCCGAGCCAAGUCUGGCCAGGCUCGGGCUCGACUCGGCUCGUUUAAACCCCUAGGCAUAGUAGUGUAUCUUAAUUUUUAAAUGGGAGCCUUUUUUUCUUUCCAAAAAUGUCCUAAUCUUUUUUACCUCUUAUCAUUCUAUUCACGUAUACAACUCCCCAUUCACCAUCUUCUCUCAACGUACACACCCUCCACCUCCACCAUCUGAUCUCUUGUAUGGUCACUACCGAUGGUCGUCUUCACCUCUAGCUCUAUCAAAACUCGGCGACAAGAGCCAUUAAGUAAGGUUUUUUCUUGAAUUGAUUUUUUGAAAUCGAUUUUGUGUUAUGAUUUGGGACGACAUUUCCUUGAAGAAACCAAUGCUAUAACGUCUCAAAUUUUCAACCAAAUUUAAAAUCUUCUAAGUAUGAAUUAAACAACAAAAAAAACA